ACUCAAAGGAAUUGACGGGGACUCGCACAAGCGGUGGAGCAUGCGGUUUAAUUCGAUGCAACGCGAAGAACCUUACCAGGUCUUGACAGUGUAAAGAAUACUUAAGAGAUUAAGGGCUAAGAAUUAAGCUUGCUUAUUUCACUUUAUAAACAGGUGGUGCAUGGUUGUCGUCAGCUCGUGUCGUGAGAUGUUGGGUUAAGUCCCGCAACGAGCGCAACCCUUAUUGCUAGUUGCCAUCAUUAAGUUGGGCACUCUAGCAAGACUGCCGGUGACAAAUCGGAUGAAGGUGGGGAUGACGUCAAAUCAUCAUGCCCCUUAUGACCUGGGCUACACGCGUGCUACAAUGGCUAAUACAAAGAGUUGCAAAACCGUGAGGUAGAGCUAAUCUCAUAAAGUUAGUCUCAGUUCGGAUUGUAGUCUGCAACUCGACUACAUGAAGUUGGAAUCGCUAGUAAUCGUAAAUCAGAAUGUUACGGUGAAUACGUUCUCGAGUCUUGUACACACCGCCCGU
Molecule: ribosomal RNA, 511 nt
Filed under: uncultured bacterium
Lineage: Bacteria
Description: bacterial SSU rRNA
Rfam family: Bacterial small subunit ribosomal RNA
Source: RNAcentral